RNAcentral lists this ribosomal RNA (484 nucleotides) under uncultured bacterium. RNAcentral describes it as "partial 16S ribosomal RNA". It matches the Rfam family "Bacterial small subunit ribosomal RNA", at positions 30 to 507 of the family's 1533-position model. The record is from RNAcentral.
AUUGAACGCUGGCGGCAUGCCUUACACGUGCAAGUCGAACGGCAGCGCGGACUUCGGUCUGGCGGCGAGUGGCGAACGGGUGAGUAAUACAUCGGAACGUACCCUGUUGUGGGGGAUAACUAGUCGAAAGAUUAGCUAAUACCGCAUACGACCUGAGGGUGAAAGUGGGGGACCGCAAGGCCUCACGCAGCAGGAGCGGCCGAUGUCUGAUUAGCUAGUUGGUGGGGUAAAGGCCCACCAAGGCGACGAUCAGUAGCUAGUCUGAGAGGACGAUCAGCCACACUGGGACUGAGACACGGCCCAGACUCCUACGGGAGGCAGCAGUGGGGAAUUUUGGACAAUGGGGGCAACCCUGAUCCAGCAAUGCCGCGUGUGUGAAGAAGGCCUUCGGGUUGUAAAGCACUUUUGUCCGGAAAGAAAUCGCGCUGGUUAAUACCUGGCGUGGAUGACGGUACCGGAAGAAUAAGCACCGGCUAACUACGUG